GUCGGCAUUGCUCAUGAGCGCUGAUUGAUUUUGUCGCUCGCUAUUGUCGCAGGCGCUUUCUGCUUUUGACCACGGAUGUACUGGCACUGGCAAAGGAAGUGACGUGACGACGGUCGGUGCGAUUUCGCGCCGGCCUUUUUUGUU
RNAcentral lists this small RNA (144 nucleotides) under Rhizobium sp. BK313. Its description in RNAcentral is "sRNA ar35". It matches the Rfam family "Alphaproteobacterial sRNA ar35". Lineage: Bacteria; Pseudomonadati; Pseudomonadota; Alphaproteobacteria; Hyphomicrobiales; Rhizobiaceae. The record is from RNAcentral.